GGAUUGUGGCUUAGUGGUAGAGCACUUGCCUAGCACAUGUGAGGCACUGGGUUUGAUCCUCAGCACCA
This 68-nucleotide transfer RNA is filed under the name Marmota monax (woodchuck). RNAcentral describes it as "tRNA.Ala". Lineage: Eukaryota; Metazoa; Chordata; Mammalia; Rodentia; Sciuridae. The record is from RNAcentral.